CCCCUAGACGUUCUGGGCUGCACGCGCGCUACAAUAAUACGCACAGCGAGUAUCACCGAGCUCGAAAGGGCAAGGUAAACAAUAGAAAAGGUACUGUAAUGGUUAUAGAUCCUUGUAAUUAUUGAUCUUCAACGAGGAAUUCCUAGUAAGUAUGUGUCAUCAUCACGCACUGAUUACGUCCCUGCCCUUUGUACACACCGCCCGUCGCUCCUACCGAUUUGGUGAGCCGAUGAAACUCUCGGAUGUAGGCUAUUCAUAGCCCGCAGAAGAGAUUUGAAUCGUAGCGCUUAGAGGAAGGAGAAGUCGUAACA
Molecule: ribosomal RNA, 311 nt
Filed under: uncultured eukaryote
Lineage: Eukaryota
Description: partial 18S ribosomal RNA
Rfam family: Eukaryotic small subunit ribosomal RNA
Source: RNAcentral